This 510-nucleotide ribosomal RNA is filed under the name uncultured bacterium. Its description in RNAcentral is "bacterial SSU rRNA". It matches the Rfam family "Bacterial small subunit ribosomal RNA", at positions 899 to 1397 of the family's 1533-position model. The record is from RNAcentral.
ACUCAAAGGAAUAGACGGGGGCCCGCACAAGCGGUGGAGCAUGUUGUUUAAUACGUCACUAACCGUAGAACCUUACCAGGGCUUGACAUCCGCUGACGGUCUAUGAAAGUAGGCGUUCCGUACCCGCGAGGGUCGGACAGCGAGACAGGUGUUGCAUGGCUGUCGUCAGCUCGUGUCGUGAGAUGUUGGGUUAAGUCCCGCAACGAGCGCAACCCUCACCCCAUGUUGCCAACGGGUAAAGCCGGGAACUCUUGGGGAACUGCCCGGGUAACCGGGAGGAAGGUGGGGAUGACGUCAAGUCAGCAUGGCCCUUACGCCCUGGGCUACAAACAUGCUACAAUGGACGGUAGACAAAGGGAACCGAAGUCGCGAGGCGGAGGCAAUCCCAGAAAUCCGUUCUCAGUUCGGAUCGCAGGCUGCAACUCGCCUGCGUGAAGUCGGAAUCGCUAGUAACCGCAGAUCAGCUAAGCUGCGGUGAAUACGUUCCCGGGCCUUGUACACACCGCCCGU